GGUCAAGCUACAAAGGGCGCAUGGUGAAUGCCUUGGCAUCAGGAGCCGAUGAAGGACGUGAUAAGCUGCGAUAAGCUUCGGGUAGGCGCACAUAGCCUGAGAUCCGAAGAUCUCCGAAUGAGGAAACUCACAUGGGAAACCCCAUGUAUCAUUAAGUGAAUACAUAGCUUAAUGAAGGUAACCCAGGGAACUGAAACAUCUAAGUACCUGGAGGAAGAGAAAGAAAAAUCGAUUUUCUUAGUAGCGGCGAGCGAAAGGGAAAGAGCCCAAACCGGAAACUUGUUUCCGGGGUUGUGGACAUAGCAUAAAAGUGGAGGCUAUUGUAACUGAAGAGAACUGGAAAGUUCCACCGUAGAAGGUAAUAGUCCUGUAAGUGAAACGAGAAGACCACGAGUUAUGAUCCAGAGUACCACGAGACACGUGAAACCUUGUGGGAAGCAGGGAGGACCACCUUCCAAGGCUAAAUACUACCUGAUGACCGAUAGUGAAGCAGUACCGUGAGGGAAAGGUGAAAAGAACCCCGGGAGGGGAGUGAAAUAGAACCUGAAACCGUGUGCCUACAACCGCUCAGAGCCCCUUAUGAGGGUGAUGAGGUGCUUUUUGUAGAACGAGCCAACGAGUUACGGUAUGUAGCAAGGUUAAGUACUUAAGGUACGGAGCCGAAGGGAAACCGAGUCUGAAUAGGGCGACUAGUUGCAUUCCGUAGACCCGAAACCGGGUGACCUAUCCAUGGCCAGGUUGAAGCGAGGGUAAAACCUCGUGGAGGACCGAACCACGUUGCUGUUGAAAAAGCAUGGGAUGAGCUGUGGAUAGCGGAGAAAUUCCAAUCGAACCCGGAGAUAGCUGGUUCUCUCCGAAAUAGCUUUAGGGCUAGCGUCGAGUAUGAGUAGUGGAGGUAGAGCACUGAAUGGGCUAGGGGGCAUAGCGCUUACCGAACCUUAUCAAACUCCGAAUGCCACAUACUUUGAGCUCGGCAGUCAGACUACGAAUGAUAAGAUCCGUGGUCAAAAGGGAAACAGCCCAGAUCGUCAGCUAAGGUCCCAAAGUGUAAGUUAAGUGGGAAAGGAUGUGAGAUUUCUAAGACAACUAGGAUGUUGGCUUAGAAGCAGCCAUUCAUUAAAAGAGUGCGUAAUAGCUCACUAGUCGAGAGAUCUUGCGCCGAAAAUGUAACGGGGCUAAACUUACCACCGAAGCUACGGGCUUGAACUUAGUUCAAGCGGUAGGAGAGCGUCGUAACCGGGCUGAAGUCGUACCGUAAGGAGCGGUGGACUGGUUACGAGUGAGAAUGUUGGCAUCAGUAGCGAGAUGUGGGUGAGAAUCCCACAGGCCGAAAACCUAAGGUUUCCUCAGGAAGGUUCGUCCGCUGAGGGUUAGUCGGGACCUAAGCCGAGGCCGAAAGGCGUAGGUGAUGGACAACUGGUUGAUAUUCCAGUACCACUACCAUCGUUAUUAUCGAUGGCGUGACGCAGGAGGAUAGUGUGUGCUAGCUAUUGGAUGCUAGUCUAAGCGUUUAGGCAGUGAGAGUAGGCAAAUCCGCUCUCAUAAUGCUGAGGCGUGAUGGGGAAGGUUCCACGGAACCGAAGUACAUGAUUCCACGCUGCCAAGAAAAGCGUCUAGAGAGAGAAGUAGUGCCCGUACCGCAAACCGACACAGGUAGGUGAGGAGAGAAUCCUAAGGCCGGCGGAAGAAUUACAGUUAAGGAACUCGGCAAAUUGACCCCGUAAGUUCGCGAGAAGGGGUGCCUACGAGAGUAGGCCGCAGAGAAUAGGCCCAAGCAACUGUUUAGCAAAAACACAGGUCUCUGCUAAAGCGUAAGCUGAUGUAUAGGGGCUGACGCCUGCCCGGUGCUGGAAGGUUAAGGGGAACACUUAGCGCAAGCGAAGGUGUGAACUUAAGCCCCAGUAAACGGCGGCCGUAACUAUAACGGUCCUAAGGUAGCGAAAUUCCUUGUCAGGUAAGUUCUGACCCGCACGAAUGGCGUAAUGACUUGGGCACUGUCUCAACUGUAAAUCCGGCGAAGUUGUAGUGCGAGUGAAGAUGCUCGCUACCCGCGAUUGGACGGAAAGACCCCGUAGAGCUUUACUGUAGCUUAGCAUUGAGUUUUGGUAUUGUCUGUACAGGAUAGGUGGGAGACUAGGAAACCAGGGCGUCAGCCUUGGUGGAGUCAACCUUGGGAUACCACCCUGACAGUACUGAAAUUCUAACUGGCGGCCAUGAAUCUGGUCACAGGACAUUGUUAGGUGGGCAGUUUGACUGGGGCGGUCGCCUCCUAAAAAGUAACGGAGGCGCCCAAAGGUUCCCUCAGAACGGUCGGAAAUCGUUCGAAGAGUGCAAAGGCAGAAGGGAGCCUGACUGCGACACCCACAAGUGGAGCAGGGACGAAAGUCGGGCUUAGUGAUCCGGUGGUACCUCGUGGGAGGGCCAUCGCUCAACGGAUAAAAGCUACCUCGGGGAUAACAGGCUGAUCUCCCCCAAGAGUCCACAUCGACGGGGAGGUUUGGCACCUCGAUGUCGGCUCGUCGCAUCCUGGGGCUGAAGUAGGUCCCAAGGGUUGGGCUGUUCGCCCAUUAAAGCGGCACGCGAGCUGGGUUCAGAACGUCGUGAGACAGUUCGGUCCCUAUCCGUCGCGGGCGUAGGAAAUUUGAGAGGAGCUGUCCUUAGUACGAGAGGACCGGGAUGGACUGACCUCUGGUGUACCAGUUGUUCCGCCAGGAGCACAGCUGGGUAGCUAAGUCGGGAAUGGAUAAACGCUGAAAGCAUCUAAGCGUGAAGCCAACCUCAAGAUGAGAUUUCCCAUAGCAUAAGCUAGUAAGAUCCCUUGAAGAACACAAGGUUGAUAGGUCGGGGGUGUAAGCAUGGUAACAUGUUCAGCUGACCGAUACUAAUAGAUCGAGGGCUUGACCAA
Molecule: ribosomal RNA, 2905 nt
Filed under: Clostridium perfringens
Lineage: Bacteria; Bacillati; Bacillota; Clostridia; Eubacteriales; Clostridiaceae
Description: 23S ribosomal RNA
Rfam family: Bacterial large subunit ribosomal RNA
Source: RNAcentral